RNAcentral lists this ribosomal RNA (433 nucleotides) under uncultured bacterium. Its description in RNAcentral is "partial 16S ribosomal RNA". It matches the Rfam family "Bacterial small subunit ribosomal RNA", at positions 29 to 507 of the family's 1533-position model. The record is from RNAcentral.
AACGAACGCUGGCGGCAUGCCUAACACAUGCAAGUCGAACGAGACCUUCGGGUCUAGUGGCGCACGGGUGCGUAACGCGUGGGAACCUGCCCUUAGGUUCGGAAUAACUCCCCGAAAGGGGUGCUAAUACCGGAUAAUGUCUUCGGACCAAAGAUUUAUCGCCUUUGGAUGGGCCCGCGUUGGAUUAGCUUGUUGGUAGGGUAAAAGCCUACCAAGGCGACGAUCCAUAGCUGGUCUGAGAGGAUGAUCAGCCACACUGGGACUGAGACACGGCCCAGACUCCUACGGGAGGCAGCAGUGGGGAAUAUUGGACCAUGGGCGAAGGCCUGAUCCAGCAAUGCCGCGUGAGUGAUGAAGGCCUUAGGGUUGUAAAGCUCUUUUACCCAGGAUGAUAAUGACAGUACCGGGAGAAUAAGCUCCGGCUAACUCCGUG